This 518-nucleotide ribosomal RNA is filed under the name Staphylococcus pseudintermedius. RNAcentral's name for it is "bacterial SSU rRNA". It matches the Rfam family "Bacterial small subunit ribosomal RNA", at positions 1016 to 1533 of the family's 1533-position model. Lineage: Bacteria; Bacillati; Bacillota; Bacilli; Caryophanales; Staphylococcaceae. The record is from RNAcentral.
CUCUUCGGAGGACAAAGUGACAGGUGGUGCAUGGUUGUCGUCAGCUCGUGUCGUGAGAUGUUGGGUUAAGUCCCGCAACGAGCGCAACCCUUGAACUUAGUUGCCAUCAUUCAGUUGGGCACUCUAAGUUGACUGCCGGUGACAAACCGGAGGAAGGUGGGGAUGACGUCAAAUCAUCAUGCCCCUUAUGAUUUGGGCUACACACGUGCUACAAUGGACAAUACAAAGGGCAGCGAAACCGCGAGGUCAAGCAAAUCCCAUAAAGUUGUUCUCAGUUCGGAUUGUAGUCUGCAACUCGACUACAUGAAGCUGGAAUCGCUAGUAAUCGUAGAUCAGCAUGCUACGGUGAAUACGUUCCCGGGUCUUGUACACACCGCCCGUCACACCACGAGAGUUUGUAACACCCGAAGCCGGUGGAGUAACCAUUUUGGAGCUAGCCGUCGAAGGUGGGACAAAUGAUUGGGGUGAAGUCGUAACAAGGUAGCCGUAUCGGAAGGUGCGGCUGGAUCACCUCCUUU